RNAcentral lists this unclassified non-coding RNA (336 nucleotides) under soil metagenome. RNAcentral describes it as "partial contains 5.8S ribosomal RNA, internal transcribed spacer 2, and large subunit ribosomal RNA". The stretch from base 1 to 120 matches the Rfam family "5.8S ribosomal RNA", at positions 35 to 154 of the family's 154-position model. The record is from RNAcentral.
GAUGAAGAACGCAGCGAAAUGCGAUAAGUAGUGUGAAUUGCAGAAUUCAGUGAAUCAUCGAAUCUUUGAACGCACAUUGCGCCCCUUGGUAUUCCAUGGGGCAUGCCUGUUCGAGCGUCAUUUGUACCUUCAAGCUUUGCUUGGUGUUGGGUGUUUGUCUCGCCUUUGCGUGUAGACUCGCCUUAAAAUAAUUGGCAGCCGGCGUAUUGAUUUCGGAGCGCAGUACAUCUCGCGCUUUGCACUCAUAACGACAGCGUCCAAAAGUACAUUUUACACUCUUGACCUCGGAUCAGGUAGGGAUAGCCGCUGAACUUAAGCAUAUCAAUAAGCGGAGGA